GCUCAGCGCUGUGCAAAAAUAAAGUUCCUACUUUCUUCCACCACACCCGGUGUCAGAGAUUGGCUUGCUGUGCCACGGGUGAGCGAACUCACUUCAGGUUCGGUGACAAUGACAUCAGCAUGGCCGUACCCAAUGGCAUUGCCCAGCAAAUCUCACUCAGCCAAUCAGCAGUGUUGAUCUGAUGGCUGAUGUCCACCCCCUCCUGAAGGACUUUCCCCAACGGACCUCUGGGACCCAUCCUCCCGGUCCUCAGCCCCCUCUGGUCCUUCUGGGGCUCGGUCCUCAGAUCUCUCAUCUCUGUGGACACUGCCUCCCGGGGUGAGCUCAUCCAGUCUGGUGGCCUUAAAUACCAUCUCCACGUUGACAACUCCGAAAUUUAGUUCUUUAGCCCAGACAUCACUCCAGAUUCCAGAGUCAUAAAUCCAGCUGCUUACUUGCCACCUCCACUUGGAUGUCUGAGUGACGUGUCCAAUGUGAUGUACCCAAAGCUGAGUUCCGGCUGUCCUGACCUUGACCCGCUUCUCACGGCCGGCCGCUUCUCAGUAAACAGCAGCUCCAUCCUUCCCGCUGCUCAGGACAAGUCACAGGAAUCAUCCUCGCUCCCCUCGCUCUUAAACCCCACAGCAAUUUAUCAGUAAUUCUUUAGCUCUGCCUUCAAGUUACAUCCAGGAUCUAUCCCAUUUUUUUUUUUUACCACCUCUUCCACCUGCGUCCUCAUCUGAGCCAGCACCAUUGCCUGAAUUAGUGAAAUGGCUUCCUGUUUCUACCCUCGUGCUUCCCUCCCCUCUCCCCCAAGAAGCCGGAUCCUUUCAGAAGAUUAGUCAUAUUAUGUCACUCCCUUGAUGAACACCCUUCAGUGGCUUCCUAUCACACUCGGAAUAGAGCCCACAUCCUUCCUCUGACCUGAGAGAACCUCUAAGUGCCGCCCCCAUUUAUCUCUCUGGCCGCCUCUUCCCACAUUCUCCCUCCCGCUGGUGGCUCACUCUGCUCCAGCCGCACUGGCCUCUCUGAUUGGACACCAGUGGACAAUCUGCUCUGGCACAGGCCCGCUGCACUCUCCAUCAAGCCUCAUCCGUCCUUCCAAACCUUACAGGUGUGAACUCAUCAGACCAGAGGAGAUGGCACCAGUGUGCGUCCCCAGAGGAAAAAGGAAACCAGAGGAACCGGGGAUGCAGAACCUGGAGAAGAGGCCUCUGCAGGGGAUGCCAAGCCUUCACAUAGAGAGCGCGCUUGCAUCUUGACGCCUCCCCACCAGCCACUGUACCGCUUCACGAUGUGCAGGGAGCCAUCCUGCCCCUAAGCGGCUUAAAACCUGGGAGAGAGACCAGCCGCGUGCGGGGAGAAUCGGAGGAUGUCCCAACGCGAAACUUUGUAGAAACAGCUGUAGGUGCUACAGAAAUUACAGGACCACCGUCUGUACCACAACCACCUGGCCACCAUCGCUAGUGUAGGACACACUAUUUGGCAGAGUUUCCAUCGAGAAUAGCAUCUGGGCCUGAAGGUCAGAGGAAGUUUUGUUGGUUAAGUGGGAAGAAGAAAAGAGGACAUCCCGGGAUGGGGGGGAAUUGACAGCAGGAGCAAAGGCGGGAGUGGUGCUGGUCCCCACAGGCCGGAGCAGACCUGCCCAGUUGAAGCGUGGCAUGCACUGGCCGCUGAGAAACGACCCAGACCUGGGGCAGAGCCAGUCCCUGGGAGCUCCGACAGCCGCACAGAGGAGUUUGUCCUCAGUGCCGGCCUCAUGCUGGGAGGGAAGCCGCAUGUCAGAAAAUGGGCCGAAAGCAGAGCCGGGCCUUGCAGGAGGGCCAGCGAGGACACAGUUGGUGACAACGGGGUCUGAAGCGAGGAGAUCGUGAAACUGGAGAAGGGCAGCCGUGAGCAAUGCAGGAGGGUCCAGGCCUGGUGAAGGCGAUGGAGGAGCGACGGAGGGAAGGAGGAAGCAGACAUCGCUGGCCCAGCUUCACCUGGCAGCCCUCUGCCUCCCCCUGGGCGCUCGCCGGCCGCGCCAGGCAUCGGACAGUCACCGGGCAUGGACCAUGCGCCAGCACCGGGCCUCACCGCGUGGGCCCGAGGCCCCUCCACGCCACAGCGGAGGGCUCUCUCCUCCUGGAGGGCUGAUGGGAACAAGGUUCCUUGCCAUAAUCUCGGAGCCCCUUCCAGGGGACAGGCUGUGUGUCUGUACCAUCAAGGCAAUGCUGACUCAGAAAGUCAUUGUCCACAAUCCUUUGGUUUAGAAGCCACCGUAGCCUGCUCUUUUGAUAUGACCCACACGACCACACUUUUUUUAAAGGAGAGCUGAGGGGAGAGCUUGUCCACUCGCAUCCAAAUAGGGUAAAAGAUAAUGCAGAGUGGAUGUCCCCGAGGCUCUUGACUUUGGCCCUUGGUGAGAGAAGCGGGUCAGGACUUUCCCCACCCUCCGCACCUGCUGCGGGGUCUGUGGUUGCAAGCUCAGGGCGCAGCGCCGGCCCCUAGCUGCACACCCCUCUGCAGCCCGUCUUCGGGGUUUUGAGACUGGAGGGUUGCACGAUCCCAGCUUUAGGUGGAGGGCUGAAGAGAUUAGGGGAAUACCUGACAGUCAACAGAAGGGAAUAAAGAGCAAGGAAGCACUUCGCUCAGACUCGGCUUCUCUGUACCUUCCACUCUCAUCUCCCUGUGGCCGUGUCCCCCUCCUGGGGAUGGGGAGGUGGGGAAGCUCCCUCCCACCUGGCAGCAGCCUCCAGAGACCCGUGCCCAAGAGGACAAGGAACCUGACCCCGCCGUCUGUCUCCUCCUGCACCGCCAAGCCCAGCCCCCGGCAAGGAGGAAUUAGAUCGCCCUGACAAGAUUUGUGCUGUCAGAGAGCGGGUUUUAUUUUUACCCUCCAGCCUGUGAUCUUCCAGGUGUCUGCGAACUGACUUAGAAAUCAAGUAAUUACCCUUUGCCUUCCCACCUGCACGUCCCCGGCGAGGUGGCUCUAGUGAGGGAGCUGCUGACCUCUGCAGGGUCUGAACUGAGCUGGAAUCUUGUCCCUUCCAAGCCCUGUCAAUCUGGGCUGGUUUUUUUACCCUCUGCGGGUCUCAGUCUCCUUAUCUGUAAAACACGCGGCGUUAGAUGGUCUCUGUGGUGUGAAAGAAUAAAAGCACGAAGGUUUUAAAAAAAUGCAUCCACUUGAGUGCACUCUGUUUUAUCUUUUCUUCUCCCCAUUUAUAAAAAGGACAACAUCUUAUUUCUGCAGAUCUGAGAACAUUUGUCACAUUUUGCAAUUUUAUUGUCGUUACCGAACAGAGGGAAUGAGUAACAGAGGAAAAAACAAAUGAGUAGAACAGCACAAGAGACAAAAAGGUCUGGUUUGCCAAGAUGGAAAGACCCCGCCUUUUGCUUCAAAGGCCCAGCUUUGCAGACCCAGCUCAGCCCUCGCUUCACUGGCUGACUGCCCCGCAGCCUUCGGCGAGGCCUAUCUCUCUGGCUCUCCCUCCCGGUGACUUGACACCUUUGGGGUUAAGAGCAAAUGGAUCAACAUGAGAUGGUCUUGCUGGGCCAUCUGAGGGCCACAGGGGUGGCAGGACAAGAAUUCUGCCCUGCUGACCAGCACCCAUGGAUCAGCUGCAGGAUAAAGGGACCUUCGGUAAGCACUAACUGCAGGACCAUCACUGGCCCUCUAGCAGCUCAGAGCAGGGAGGUAAGGAGAGCUGGAACAGGGGUGCAUGGGGAGCUCCUGCCAUCUGCCAUGCCCGGGAACCAAGAAAGGAAGAGCAUGUCACCCCAGAAGCCAAACUAGUGGACCCAUGGCUCGUUCACGCCUUCCUUCCACUGACGCGUUGAGAACUUCUGUGCCUAGAAAGGAAGGUAAGGAGGUGAAUACAACAGGACUGAGCCCUCCCAGAUGCUCCUUCUGGUAGAAGAGCUUACAAUUUCACACGUGAUGGAAGUUUAAGUGCUUUUCUUUAGGAAGUGUACCUGGGCCCCUCGCUGGCACCUAAUUACUCUUUUUUAAAAAUUAACUUUAUCCAGAUAAAAUUUACGUAUUAUAAAAUUCACCCAUUUUGAGCAUACAACUCAAUGAUUUCUAGUAAGUUUGCAGAGAUGUAUAGACUUCACCACAAUCUGAUUUUAGAAUGUUUUCAUCAUCUCAGCAAAACCCUCAUGCCCAUUUGGAGUUAAUCCCUGUUUGCAUCCCCAGCCAACCCCUUGUGUACUUUUUAUCCCCAUGUUUGACUUUUCUGGACAUUUCAUACAAAUGGAAUCAUAUUGUGUGUAGUCUUUUGUCUGGCUUCCUUCACUCAGCAUAGUACUGCGAGGUCCAUCCAUGUCAUUGCAUGUAUCAGUACUUCUUUCUUUUUUGUGGCUGAAUAAUAUUCCAUUGUAUGAAAAGACCACUUCUUAUUUAUCCAUUCACCAAUUGAUGGACAUAUGAUAGUUUCCACCCUUCGGCUGUUAUGGAUAAUGCUGCUAUGAAUAUCUCCGUGCAAAUCUUUGUGUGGACACAUGUUUUCAUUUCUCUUGGGUAGAAGCCUAGGAGUAGAAUUGUUGGGCUGUAUGGUAAACUGAUGUUUAAAUUUUAAAGAAACUGUCAAACUCUCUUCCAGAGUGGCCGUACCAUUGUCCAUGGUCACACGCAUGUAGAAGAUCUCCCUUUCCUCCACAUCCCCACCAGCACUUGUCAUCAUCUGUCUUUUUGAUGAUAGCCAUCCUAGUGGGUGUGAAGUGGUGCCUCAUUGUGGUUUGAAUUUGCAUUUCCCUAAUGACUAAUGAUGGUGAGCAUCUUUUCAGGUCUUUCGUGAUCAUUCAUAUAUCUUCUUUGGUAAAUUGUCUAUUCGGGUCUUCUGCCCAUUUUUUCAUCCAGUUGUUUAUCUUAUUAUUACUGAAUUGUAGGAAUUCUUUGCAUAUCCCCAGUACAAGUCCUUUAUCAGAUGCAAUUUGCAAAUAUUUCUUUCAGUCUGUGGGCUAUCUUUUCAUUUUCUUAGUGAGCCUCUUUUGAAGUUUUCAAUUCUAAUGAAGUCCAAUUUAUUAAUAUUUUUCUUUUAUGGACGUCUUAGUCCAUUCGGGCCCCUAUAACACAAUGCCACAGGCUGGGUGCCUGAUAAACAACAGAAAUUUACUCUCACAGCUCUGGAGGCUGGACUGCAGGAGCAGGGUGCCAGCAUGGUUACAUUCGAGCGAGGACCCUCUUCUCAGUCCACAGCCAGCGUCUCCUCAAUGUGUCCUGGAAGGGGCGAGGGAGCUCUCAGAGGUCUCUUUUGUAAGGCCACUAAUCCCAUUCACGGGGAGCCCACCCUCAUGACCCAAUCACCUCCCAAAGGCCUCACCUUCCAACACCACCACACUGGGGGUUGGGUUUCAGCAUGCGAAUUUUAGGGGGACACAAACAUUCAGACCACAGCAAUGGAUCACACUUUUCAUGUCAACCAAGAAAUCUGUGCCUAACUCAAGGUCUCAAGGAUUUUCUCCUGUAGUUUCUUCUAAAGCUUCUAUAGUUUUAGCUCUUACAUUUUGAUGUAUAAUUCACUUUGAGUUAAUGUAUUUUAUAAAUUUUUUUUAAAGAUUAGUACCUGAGGUAACAUCUAUUGCCAAGCUUCUUUUUUUUUCUUCU
Non-coding RNA from Equus caballus (horse), 5566 nucleotides. NCBI's taxonomy places the organism in Eukaryota, Metazoa, Chordata, Mammalia, Perissodactyla, Equidae. The record is from RefSeq and is a predicted model, not a curated record.